AACGAACGCUGGCGGCAUGCCUAACACAUGCAAGUCGAACGAAGCCUUCGGGCUUAGUGGCGCACGGGUGCGUAACGCGUGGGAAUCUGCCCUUGGGUUCGGAAUAACAGUUAGAAAUGACUGCUAAUACCGAAUGAUGUCUUCGGACCAAAGAUUUAUCGCCCAAGGAUGAGCCCGCGUCGGAUUAGCUAGUUGGUGAGGUAAAGGCUCACCAAGGCGACGAUCCGUAGCUGGUUUGAGAGGAUGAUCAGCCACACUGGGACUGAGACACGGCCCAGACUCCUACGGGAGGCAGCAGUGGGGAAUAUUGGACAAUGGGCGAAAGCCUGAUCCAGCAAUGCCGCGUGAGUGAUGAAGGCCUUAGGGUUGUAAAGCUCUUUUACCAGGGAUGAUAAUGACAGUACCGGGAGAAUAAGCCCGGCUAACCUCCGUGCCAGCAGCCGCG
Molecule: ribosomal RNA, 445 nt
Filed under: uncultured bacterium
Lineage: Bacteria
Description: bacterial SSU rRNA
Rfam family: Bacterial small subunit ribosomal RNA
Source: RNAcentral